Molecule: ribosomal RNA, 460 nt
Filed under: uncultured bacterium
Lineage: Bacteria
Description: partial 16S ribosomal RNA
Rfam family: Bacterial small subunit ribosomal RNA
Source: RNAcentral
CCUACGGGUGGCAGCAGUGAGGAAUAUUGGUCAAUGGACGAGAGUCUGAACCAGCCAAGUAGCGUGAAGGAUGACUGCCCUAUGGGUUGUCAACUUCUUUUAUAUGGGAAUAAAAUGUUCCACGUGUGGGAUUUUGUAUGUACCAUAUGAAUAAGGAUCGGCUAACUCCGGGCCAGCAGCCGCGGUAAUACGGAGGAUCCGAGCGUUCUCCGGAUUUACUGGGUUUAACGGGAGCGUAGGUGGAUUGUUAAGUCAGGUGUGAAAGGUUGCGGCUCAACCGGAAAAUUGCAGUUGAAACUGGCAGUCUUGAGUAAAGGAGGGGGAGGCGGAAUUCGUGGUGUAGCAGUGAAAUGCUUAGAUAUCAGGAAGAAAUCCGGUGGCGAAGGCGGGUGACUGGACUGUAACUGACACUGAGGCACGAAGGUGUGGGGAUCAAAAAGGAUUAGAUACCCGAGUAGUC